GCGGAGGGAUCAUUACCGAGUUUACAACUCCCAAACCCCUGUGAACAUACCUAUUUGUUGCCUCGGCGGUGCCUGUUCCGACAGCCCGCCAGAGGACCCCAAACCCUGAUUACAUUUAAGAAGUCUUCUGAGUAAACCGAUUAAAUAAAUCAAAACUUUCAACAACGGAUCUCUUGGUUCUGGCAUCGAUGAAGAACGCAGCGAAAUGCGAUAAGUAAUGUGAAUUGCAGAAUUCAGUGAAUCAUCGAAUCUUUGAACGCACAUUGCGCCCGCUAGUAUUCUGGCGGGCAUGCCUGUCCGAGCGUCAUUUCAACCCUCAAGCCCCCGGGCUUGGUGUUGGGGAUCGGCUAGCCUCCGCGCCCGCCGUCCCCUAAAUCUAGUGGCGGUCUCGCUGUAACUUCCUCUGCGUAGUAGCACACCUCGCACUGGGAAACAGCGCGGCCACGCCGUUAAACCCCCAGCUUCUGAACGUUUGACCUCGGAUCAGGUAGGAAUACCCGCUGAACUUAAGCAUAUCAAUA
Molecule: ribosomal RNA, 521 nt
Filed under: uncultured mycorrhizal ascomycete
Lineage: Eukaryota; Fungi; Ascomycota
Description: eukaryotic LSU rRNA
Rfam family: 5.8S ribosomal RNA (bases 154-307)
Source: RNAcentral